UUGACUAUUUGACCUCAAAUCAGGUAGGACUACCCGCUGAAC
Molecule: ribosomal RNA, 42 nt
Filed under: Collybiopsis subnuda
Lineage: Eukaryota; Fungi; Basidiomycota; Agaricomycetes; Agaricales; Omphalotaceae
Description: partial 28S ribosomal RNA
Source: RNAcentral